CAUGCAAGUCGAACGGUAACAGAGCUAGCAAUAGCUGCUGACGAGUGGCGGAUGGGUGCGUAACGCGUAUGCAACCUACCUGUAAUUGGAACAUAACGUUGAGAAAUUAGCGCUAAUAUUCCAUGUGGAUAUGAGACGGCAUCGUUUUAUAUUUAAAGAUUUAUUGAUUACAGAUGGGCAUGCGUAUCAUUAGCUAGUUGGUAAGGUAACGGCUCACCAAGGCAACGAUGAUUAGGGGUUCUGAGAGGAUAUCCCCCCACACUGGAACUGAGACACGGUCCAGACUCCUACGGGAGGCAGCAGUAGGGAAUAUUGGGCAAUGGAGGCAACUCUGACCCAGCCAUGCCGCGUGAAGGAAUACAGCCCUACGGGUUUUAAACUUCUUUUAUUAUAGAGUAACCGGAGGUACGUGUACCUCCCUGCAAGUAUAUAAUGAAUAAGGAUCGGCUAACUCCGUGCCAGCAGCCGCGGUAAUACGGAGGAUCCGAGCGUUAUCCGGAUUUAUUGGGUUUAAAGGGUGCGCAGGCUGAUCGAUAAGUCAGGGGUGAAAAAUUUCAGCUUAACUGGAAUCGUGCCUUUGAUACUGUCGGACUAGAGUGUAACUGACGUGACUGGAAUGUGCCGUGUAGCGGUGAAAUGCUUAGAUAUGUCACAGAACGCCAAUCGUGAAGACAGGUCACGAAGUUACUACUGACGCUCAUGCACGAAAGCGUGGGGAUCAAACAGGAUUAGAUACCCUGGUAGUCCACGCUGUAA
Molecule: ribosomal RNA, 756 nt
Filed under: uncultured bacterium
Lineage: Bacteria
Description: bacterial SSU rRNA
Rfam family: Bacterial small subunit ribosomal RNA
Source: RNAcentral